This 477-nucleotide ribosomal RNA is filed under the name uncultured Methylophilaceae bacterium. Its description in RNAcentral is "bacterial SSU rRNA". It matches the Rfam family "Bacterial small subunit ribosomal RNA", at positions 39 to 510 of the family's 1533-position model. Lineage: Bacteria; Pseudomonadati; Pseudomonadota; Betaproteobacteria; Nitrosomonadales; Methylophilaceae. The record is from RNAcentral.
GCGGAAUGCUUUACACAUGCAAGUCGAACGGCAGCACGGGAGCUUGCUCCUGGUGGCGAGUGGCGAACGGGUGAGUAAUAUAUCGGAACGUAUCCAAUAAUGGGGGAUAACUAGUCGAAAGAUUAGCUAAUACCGCAUACGCCCUGAGGGGGAAAGCUGGGGAUCUUCGGACCUAGCGUUAAUGGAGCGGCCGAUAUCUGAUUAGCUAGUAGGUGAGGUAAAAGCUCACCUAGGCGACGAUCAGUAGCUGGUCUGAGAGGACGACCAGCCACACUGGAACUGAGACACGGUCCAGACUCCUACGGGAGGCAGCAGUGGGGAAUUUUGGACAAUGGGCGCAAGCCUGAUCCAGCCAUUCCGCGUGAGUGAAGAAGGCCUUCGGGUUGUAAAGCUCUUUCGCAAGGGAAGAAAACUUAACCUCUAACAUAGGUUGAGGCUGACGGUACCUUGAUAAGAACACCGGCUAACUACGUGCCA